GGUGCUGCAUGGUUGUCGUCAGCUCGUGCCGUGAGGUGUCGGGUUAAGUCCCAUAACGAGCGCAACCCUUACUGUUAGUUGCCAGCGGGUCAAGCCGGGAACUCUAACGGGACUGCCACCGUAAGGUGAGAGGAAGGUGGGGAUGACGUCAAAUCAGCACGGCCCUUAUGUCCAGGGCUACACACGUGUUACAAUGGUCGGUACAAAGGGCAGCUACACCGCGAGGUGAUGCUAAUCUCUAAAGCCGGUCUCAGUUCGGAUCGAAGUCUGCAACCCGACUUCGUGAAGUUGGAUUCGCUAGUAAUCGCGCAUCAGCCAUGGCGCGGUGAAUACGUUCCCGGGCCUU
RNAcentral lists this ribosomal RNA (346 nucleotides) under uncultured Sphingobacteriales bacterium. RNAcentral's name for it is "bacterial SSU rRNA". It matches the Rfam family "Bacterial small subunit ribosomal RNA", at positions 1037 to 1382 of the family's 1533-position model. Lineage: Bacteria; Pseudomonadati; Bacteroidota; Sphingobacteriia; Sphingobacteriales. The record is from RNAcentral.